RNAcentral lists this ribosomal RNA (292 nucleotides) under uncultured bacterium. Its description in RNAcentral is "partial 16S ribosomal RNA". It matches the Rfam family "Bacterial small subunit ribosomal RNA", at positions 505 to 796 of the family's 1533-position model. The record is from RNAcentral.
GUGCCAGCCGCCGCGGUAAUACAGAGGUCCCAAGCGUUGUUCGGAUUCACUGGGCGUAAAGGGUGCGUAGGUGGCGAGGUAAGUCGGAUGUGAAAUCUUCGAGCUCAACUCGGAAACUGCAUUGGAAACUACCUUGCUCGAGGGUUGGAGGGGGGACUGGAAUACUUGGUGUAGCAGUGAAAUGCGUAGAUAUCAAGUGGAACACCAGUGGCGAAAGCGAGUCCCUGGACAACUCCUGACACUGAGGCACGAAAGCUAGGGGAGCAAACAGGAUUAGAUACCCCUGUAGUCC